GAGUGGGCGCCGGGGCCUCGGCUCCGACGCCCUCUCACACCCGCUGCCGCGCGCCCCAGCCUCGGGCUCCGCGCGGCGUGACCGCUCCUCGGGUUUGGAGAGAAAGGUGACGGAAGGGUCAGAACCCUGGCGAGAACGCCCCGCCGCCCACACUCACCUGAGGGCGCGCGGACGGAAAUAGGAUGUGUGGAGACGAAUCGGGAGCUUAAGCCUGGCCCCGUCCCCAAAGCUGCAGACCAGGGCAGUGCAAAGACCGAAAACUCUAUGCAUGGAAAAUGUCUGUGAGCUCCAAUGAAUGUUCAUAUAUGCUCCAGGAGAACAUGGAUGGCCUAGAAAUGGGUUCGGCAUAAACUCAUUUUGCCCCUCGAGCCCUAUAUGACUGCUUCUCCAUUUCUCAGCCUCUGCCUCUCCAUCCCUGGGGCUGGGCUCACCUCCAUGUGUUUCUCUUCACCCUGGGAUCUUGAUCCUUCGGGUCGUGGCUUUCUGGUUGCUGAUUCCAGGACAAAUCAGACCUUGUUCCUGACCUCCAACUGCUUAGUCUCAAGAAGAGGGAAGGAAAAUAAAGAGACCAACAUAAUACAGUGUGAAGAGCGCAGCAGUGGUCCAACUUCAGUUCAUGAACUCAGAGAGUGAGUUCCUUCCUACACUCCGGCCAUGCACCAUACACUUCUCAACUGAAGGACAUGUGACCCGGGCCAAUCAGCAUGUCCCAGCUCUCCAGUGAAAUGCAGUGAUUGGUUCAGGGAUUGGCAUGUGACCCAGACUGAUCCAACGAGAGUUAGCCCUGGAAAUUUGGCUGGAAUUCUUGCCAACAAUCCUGUCUUUUCUUCUGGGGUUGCUGAGCUGGUGAAAUGGAAGUGCUGUUGGUGCUGACAGACCUCCUUGCCACCAAGGGGGGGAAAGGCUGCCUGAGAAUAAAUCCAGCACUUGAGUAAACAGAGACAAAAGAAAGAGAGCCCUUUUCCUGAUUAUAUUGCUUGGGCUCCUAGAUCCAGCCAUGCCUGAAGACUAACCUCUACUUUUCACUUUGGUGAAACAAUGGCUUCUCUUCUUGGGAUAAUUCUACUUGGGUUGGGCUUUUUGUCACUUUUAGCUGAAAGAUUUCACAUGACUAUAGGCUCCCCUGAAAAGCUUAAUAUAGGUAUAGAGCUUUUGUUAGGGAUGACAUAAACAUUCUAGAAAUGGAUAGUGGUGAUGGUUGCACACAUUGUAUAUGUACUUAAUGCCAUUAAGUUGUAUACUUUAAAGUGAUUAAAAUGGUAACUUUUA
Suricata suricatta (meerkat) is the source of this 1269-nucleotide long non-coding RNA. RefSeq lists it as uncharacterized. The record is from RefSeq and is a predicted model, not a curated record. The transcript is spliced from 4 exons. Lineage: Eukaryota; Metazoa; Chordata; Mammalia; Carnivora; Herpestidae.